GACAAGAUGCUUUAGUCUGAAUUUCCUUAUCUGUAACAGGAGAGUAAUACAUACUGUGGCAGACAUUUUCAAUUGUCUAGCUUAUUGGCAUUUUCUCUCAUCUUCAGUGUUCAUAAAACUCUACUUUGUACUCUCAGGUAGACCCUGCCUAGCUCAUGGAGCUGAAUGACUGGCAUGACAAAGCAUGGCUGGUAUUAAAUUGCUGAGCAUCUAGGGAGCCAGCGUGACACAGGCAAGGCUAAUCUGCUGUGAAUUGGGACAGCGGCUAUCAGGGGGAUCGUAGGGACUGAAGGGAGCACAAGGGGCCUUCUGGGAUGCUGGCAAUCUGUUUCUUCACCUCGUUACUGGUGACAUGGUGUUUUCAGUUUGUGAAGAUUCAGUGCACUCGUGAUAUGUGCACUUUUCUGGAUGUAUGUUACACUAAAACAUCAGAAGAAUUGAUGUGCAUCUUAAAGUCAAGGUUGUCUUGGAAUCUAGGAACUUGGUGACAGAAAAAUGUCACCUGCAACAUGACUUUAAGACUGACGAGGAAAAGUAAGCUGCUAGUUCCUGUAUCCAAAGCAGUGUUUUCAGAUGAACCAAAAAAUUCUGCAAAAGCUUUUCUAAUUUGCUAAACUCUAAAAAAAGUAUUUUAUUAACUAGUUUUGCUGCUUUGAAAAACAUGUAAAAAAUUUUUCUACCAUUGGAUCCUGCACAUCUUAUAAAAACUGGACUUCCUGGUAUCUGGCAAAAGAUUUUUUUUUUUUUCCUGCAGAGGCAUGAGGGAAUA
Molecule: long non-coding RNA, 769 nt
Filed under: Homo sapiens (human)
Lineage: Eukaryota; Metazoa; Chordata; Mammalia; Primates; Hominidae
Description: HSALNT0393677
Source: RNAcentral